UUUUUUUUUUUCUUUUUCUUUUCCUGCUAUGGAAAUCAGAGAACAAAUCGCUCCUCUAGGUAGGGCUGGAGACUGGAGUUCUCCAUUGUUUACAGGUGAAGGGGCCUAUAGGAGUUUCCUGUAAUGCUGCUUGUUGGUUCUCCAGCUAACUCCCAGCAGUAGGAGGAGGAGGAAAAGGAGGGGAGGAGGAGGAGGGGGAGAGGGAGACUCCCCUGUUGAAGGUGUCGGCCCAAAGUCCUGGGCUGCCCCGGCUGGCCUCACAUUCUCUUUGAGCAUCACUUCUUCACCCUGUCCUCCCACAGCUGGCUGGAAUACAGAGCUAGGCUUGACCACAGAUGAGGGAAACUGAGGCACUCAAAGGGCUGAGAUAACUGUGCACAGUCCCCUGGGCUCUGCCUUGGCACAGGAAAAGUCUCCCUUUUCUGGGGGGUCUCUGUUUCCUUCUGCUCUUCACCUCAUCCUCAGAGCAAAGCUUUCCCUCUUCCUUUCUCCCUUUGCCCCAAGGCUGGGCACCCACUCUGGACUCCUUUGAUUGCUAAAGGAGGAAACUGUCUUUUCUGCUUGGACCCAGGCUCCCCACUUGGACUUGGGGGUGGAAUCAUCUGGACACCCACUUCUCCCAACCUGAUUAACCCAUUUAUGUCCUGCCAUGACGGCUUUCCUUUUCUGUUAUCCCACAUCAAAGUCUGGACACCCCAAGCCCCUACAUUUUGAGCAAUGCAUCUAAAAUUCUCUUAAUUCCCUUGUACCCAUCUCCUCUGUCACCACAGUCCAGCCCAACCCAGAGGGAUGUGCACCGAACCACCACCACAAGCACAGUCCAUGUCUUUCUCUGACUCAUGUUCUUGGAAUGCGUUUGUGUGGAGCAUUUCUCACUAACAAUCUUUUCCCCGGUGUUACACAUUCAUUCUAGUUCUGUCCUGCUCUGUCCAGAGGUGAACCCUGCCAUCUCUCUGAGCCUCGGACACUUUACCUAUACGGCCAGUCUUACAUCCAUCCCUCAUAUGGCACCGUCCAGGGCUGGAAGACACCCCUGCACCUGUGUGUCCCUCUGCCACCCACGUUCACGAGGCAUAUCCUGUGAUGGGUUAUCCCCAGGGGAACAGAGCCAUUAUGCAGAGAGUGAAAAACUCCCAAGCCUCCCUCAAAUAUGAACCCUUGGUUCCCAAGAAAAUCCUAUCCCUGAUUCUCAAGGUGCCAGCCUGUAUCACUGGACCCUGUGCGUCUGCCCCUGAGGAAGCCCCUUCAUCUGUCAGUAGUGGCCGUUAGCCUCACUUUUUGGACUUCGCAGCCUCACAUGCCCACAGACAGCAACCACUAUCUGGAUUAUCUGUAGCCAAGAGGCACAUCAGAAAUACAGAGGGAAAAUACCAAAACCUUAAGAAAAGUAUAAUAGUAAUUAAACAAGGUUUGAUGCCUUGAGAGUUGAAAGCAUAUGUAUGUCACACUAAAGCAGCAACCAAAUUUCUAUCAUAUAAAGACUGUGCUACUGUGUAGAAAGGCAGUGUAGGGAGUUGCUGAUGCUCGAUGCCUGACUCUGGCCCGGAUCCUCAUAAAUCAGUGUUUUUGAUUCCUGUCCCUCCCACUUCCUUAUUAACAAGGAUGACCCGGGAAUGGAGUGCUUCUUCAGUGGGCAUCUAUUGUUUUGGCCUGCCCAGCAUCCAUCCCCCAUUCCUCUGGUAUUAGCACCAUGAUUUAUUUUCAUUUGGAAAAAAAAUCACCCCUUUCCUAUUGUCCGUUCUUGUAGCUCGGGUGGGGCUGACCCCUUUCCUGGCUCCAGGGCUGGGCAGUGACCCAGUUCUUAGCAAUUGACUCAAGUGUUUAUAAUGACCUAAUAAGCUAAGAGUCAAUCUCAGGAUUUAUUUUUUUUUUUUCCUUUGGUACUGGCAAGGAAGAAAUACUUUCAUGCUUUAUUAGGGUUACUGAAAGGGUAAGCUUUGCAGGCCUAGAGCAUCGAGAAGCCAUCUUGCCACAGGGAGGAA
Molecule: long non-coding RNA, 1982 nt
Filed under: Macaca fascicularis (crab-eating macaque)
Lineage: Eukaryota; Metazoa; Chordata; Mammalia; Primates; Cercopithecidae
Description: lncRNA (ENSMFAG00000058074.1)
Source: RNAcentral